AAAUUGAAGAGUUUGAUCAUGGCUCAGAUUGAACGCUGGCGGCAGGCCUAACACAUGCAAGUCGAGCGGUAGCACAGAGAGCUUGCUCUCGGGUGACGAGCGGCGGACGGGUGAGUAAUGUCUGGGAAACUGCCUGAUGGAGGGGGAUAACUACUGGAAACGGUAGCUAAUACCGCAUAACGUCGCAAGACCAAAGUGGGGGACCUUCGGGCCUCAUGCCAUCAGAUGUGCCCAGAUGGGAUUAGCUAGUAGGUGGGGUAACGGCUCACCUAGGCGACGAUCCCUAGCUGGUCUGAGAGGAUGACCAGCCACACUGGAACUGAGACACGGUCCAGACUCCUACGGGAGGCAGCAGUGGGGAAUAUUGCACAAUGGGCGCAAGCCUGAUGCAGCCAUGCCGCGUGUGUGAAGAAGGCCUUCGGGUUGUAAAGCACUUUCAGCGGGGAGGAAGGCGAUAAGGUUAAUAACCUUGUCGAUUGACGUUACCCGCAGAAGAAGCACCGGCUAACUCCGUGCCAGCAGCCGCGGUAAUACGGAGGGUGCAAGCGUUAAUCGGAAUUACUGGGCGUAAAGCGCACGCAGGCGGUCUGUCAAGUCGGAUGUGAAAUCCCCGGCUCAACCGGGAACUGCAUUCGAAACUGGCAGGCUAGAGUCUUGUAGAGGGGUAGAAUUCCGUGUAGCGGUGAAAUGCGUAGAGAUCUGGAGGAAUACCGGUGGCGAAGGCGGCCCCCUGGACAAAGACUGACGCUCAGGUGCGAAAGCGUGGGGAGCAAACAGGAUUAGAUACCCUGGUAGUCCACGCCGUAAACGAUGUCGAUUUGGAGGUUGUGCCCUUGAGGCGUGGCUUCCGGAGCUAACGCGUUAAAUCGACCGCCCGGGAGUACGGCCGCAAGGUUAAAACUCAAAUGAAUUGACGGGGCCCGCACAAGCGGUGGAGCAUGUGGUUUAAUUCGAUGCAACGCGAAGAACCUUACCGGUCUUGACAUCCACAGAACUUUCCAGAGAUGGAUUGGUGCCUUCGGGAACUGUGAGACAGGUGCUGCAUGGCUGUCGUCAGCUCGUGUUGUGAAAUGUUGGGUUAAGUCCCGCAACGAGCGCAACCCUUAUCCUUUGUUGCCAGCGGUCCGGCCGGGAACUCAAAGGAGACUGCCAGUGAUAAACUGGAGGAAGGUGGGGAUGACGUCAAGUCAUCAUGGCCCUUACGACCGUGGCUACACACGUGCUACAAUGGCAUAUACAAAGAGAAGCGACCUCGCGAGAGCAAGCGGACCUCAUAAAGUAUGUCGUAGUCCGGAUUGAGUCUGCAACUCGACUCCAUGAAGUCGGAAUCGCUAGUAAUCGUAGAUCAGAAUGCUACGGUGAAUACGUUCCCGGGCCUUGUACACACCGCCCGUCACACCAUGGGAGUGGGUUGCAAAAGAAGUAGGUAGCUUAACCUUCGGGAGGGCGCUUACCACUUUGUGAUUCAUGACUGGGGUGAAGUCGUAACAAGGUAACCGUAGGGGAACCUGCGGUUGGAUCACCUCCUUACCUUAAAGAA
This 1540-nucleotide ribosomal RNA is filed under the name Klebsiella pneumoniae. Its description in RNAcentral is "bacterial SSU rRNA". It matches the Rfam family "Bacterial small subunit ribosomal RNA". The record is from RNAcentral. Lineage: Bacteria; Pseudomonadati; Pseudomonadota; Gammaproteobacteria; Enterobacterales; Enterobacteriaceae.